AUGUGUGUUCCUAAGGAUAUAGGAGGAAUGGGAUUUAGAGACUUGUGUAGCUUUAAUAAAGCACUCCUAGCUAAACAAGUUUGCCGUUUGAUUGAAAAUACUGAAUCCUUAUCUGCAAGAAUUCUCAGGGCCAAAUAUUAUCCGGACGGUAAUAUCUUAUCAGUUCAGUUGAAGAAGGGAUCUUCUUAUGUUUGGCAAAGCAUAUACUCAGGUAUUGAAACUAUUAAUCAAGGAUGUACUUGGAGAAUUGGGAAUGGUUUAACAGUAAAUAUUUGGGAUGAUCCAUGGAUCCCUACUAGUAGCUCCAGGAAGAUAGUUACCAUGCGAGGUUCCUCUCUCCUCACAAUGGUACAUGAGCUUAUUGAUUCGGGUACUGGAUAUUAGGACGAGACAUUAAUUAGAGAUAUUUUUUCGGGAGUGGAUGCAGACAGAAUCCUUCAAAUCCCAUUGUCAAACGGAGAUAUGGAAGAUUUCGUUGGUUGGCAAUAUACAAAGUCACAUAAUUUUACUGUACAAUCAGCCUACUACAUUGAGUGGAACUGUAGGUAUGGCAGAAAGUUUGAAGGACGUAACAUACAAGGUGGUUCGGCUGCUAACCCAAUUUGGAGAAUAAUAUGGAAAUUGAAAAUCCCAGGGAAAGUCAAGGUUCAUGCGUGGCAAAUGCCACAUGGUGCUAUUCCAUGUAAAUCUAUUCUUGCUAACAAGCAUAUGAAAAUUCAUACUGCAUGUCCUGUGUGUCAGGUGUAUACUGAAGACAUUCGGCAUGCUUUAUUUGAAUGUGCCCGAGCGCAGAUGGUUUGGGAAAAUCUGGGUUUAUUGGAAAAAGUUGAAAGAACUCUGAAUGUUGAUAGGGCCGGUUAA
This 861-nucleotide ribosomal RNA is filed under the name Triticum aestivum (bread wheat). Its description in RNAcentral is "partial small subunit ribosomal RNA". Lineage: Eukaryota; Viridiplantae; Streptophyta; Magnoliopsida; Poales; Poaceae. The record is from RNAcentral.